GUUUCACUGAAACAUCACCACGAGAAGAGAGAGCACCCGAUUCCCCUGCAAGGAAUGGGGUGUUAUCUACCAGGGGCACUUCACCCCAGGACUUCCUGAGCUCCUUGCCAUACUGAAUCUCCAACAACAACCUGGAUGAGUAGUAACCCAGCAGCACUGACAGGCAGCACCAGGGUUACAAACAACUUUCUCUGCUGAGACAUCUCCUGCUGUAAUUACAGCCGAGGCUUCUUGCUCAUCCUUCAAGAACAGAAACCAGCAGAGCUUCCAGCCACAACAGCCAGGCAGCUGAACAACAGCAAUCCAAACAAGCAAGGAGCUGUUCGACACAGCAGUGGAGGACACCUUGAUCACAGCCAUGGCGCCAGCAUGGAAAUAUCUGGAGCACAGGGAGCAAAACACCUGUGGCUUGGGAAAGAGAGGCAGCCCAUUGGGAUGUACGCACGGGGCAACGCGGCAAGGCUGCGUUUCACACUGAAACGGCAAGUACCUGUGAGUGCUGUGCCAAAACCUGCCCCUGGCAGGGUGCCUACAGAAGGUACCAAACACCUCUGAGAGCAGAGGCAUCUCCUGAAUAUCCCACAACACAGCAACCACCACAGCGAGGUCACAGCUGAGGCUGGUCACAGCAAUGAGCCAGUGCUACAGCCAGAACAAGAGCUCCAGGUACUUGGCCACCCCGUGAUUGUCACCAUGAGCCCACUUAGGGGUGGAGGCCAAGCACAGCCCCCAUAAUGAAGCACCUGAGAAGCACAUCAAAGGAGGAGCCAGCUGAAAAGCAGAGCAAUGUUUUAUGUACCACUACAGCACCACUCUACUCAGCUCUUUUCUGUAUCUGUUCUCAGUAUUACCCACAAAGCAAAAGACUUACUAAUGCCUAUCCCAAAAGGCACCCUGGUCUUUUCAGGGGGUGAACUCCAAAUGCCAACCCUUCACCAGAUCUUUUCCACCCUCUCCAAGAUGCCUCAAGGCCAGCUGCCAGCAUCAGGGUGCCUCCUCCAUCAUGCUUUGUUAACAUAAGGAAAUUACCAAGAAUUAAGUUAAAAGCAAGACCAAGAUCUGUCUGUGCUGUCACCAUGCAGGCUCAAGACACACUGAAUUUCAACAGUCUAUUUCAGCAAUCCCAGCAUUAACACCUAAA
Long non-coding RNA from Vidua chalybeata, 1141 nucleotides. RefSeq lists it as uncharacterized. The record is from RefSeq and is a predicted model, not a curated record. Lineage: Eukaryota; Metazoa; Chordata; Aves; Passeriformes; Viduidae. The transcript is spliced from 4 exons.